This is a long non-coding RNA of Aethalodelphis obliquidens (Pacific white-sided dolphin), 1272 nucleotides long. RefSeq lists it as uncharacterized. Lineage: Eukaryota; Metazoa; Chordata; Mammalia; Artiodactyla; Delphinidae. The transcript is spliced from 3 exons. The record is from RefSeq and is a predicted model, not a curated record.
GGGAGACCAUCCUACCUAAAAUAGCCAGUGUCUGCCACCACCUCCACAAACUUCUCAUACUCUCUUCUCCCACUUGGUUUAUAAUUUCCUAAAGCACUGUUCUUAGCAGGCAUCAUAUUGUAUAUCUAUCUGUUUAUUGUCUCUCCCUCUCCGCAUUACAAUGCUAGCUCCCUGAAACGUUACCUUUGUUGUGCACUGCUGGAUCCCUGUGCCCAGAACAUCAUAGGACCUCAACAAGGUUUGUUGAAUGAAUGAAAGAUGGCCUGAGACAGCUCAUCAGAGGAUUCCCCCUGCCCUCAGUGGGACCAAAACUGCGGACGCUUGGACUGCUGGCUGGCCUUUGUGCCUUGUCAUGUCUUUUUCUGGAGAACACGCUUUUCUCUUAGAGUUUAUAUUGCUUUUAUUGAAGCCUCAUCCUGUCACUUUAAGAAGAGGAAUGUUCCCUCUGGACACAUAUUUCAUUAACAGAGCAUUAUCUCCCAAAGUAACUAAGAACUUUCAAAAGAAGGGUGAUGGUUAUAAGAGCCUCUAGAUAAUUUGGACUGAUUAGGUAUCUUAAUCCAGUUGCCAGUUAAUUGUGUUUGUUUGUGAUUAAGAAUAUGAUUUUCACCUCCUCCCCCCUCCACGAUCUCGCUGUGUUUGGAGAAGGCCAAUCUUCGUAUCUGCAGCCGGCUCUUUGAAGGUGUUUGCUGAAGGGAUGAGACCACUGGCUCACCUGGAGCCAGGAGCUGGGAGGAAGGAAUCUCUGCGCAGCCACCUGCAGGAGAUACUCAAUGGAUUAUAAGAGUGAUACUAGAUGAGAACUUCUCUCACUGAUAAGCACCAAGUCAACAAUGAGCCGUUUAUUGACAUUAUUCGCUGCUGAACAACGGGGUUGUUUGCCUUGACAGUCAGACCUGCGGCCUCGGCGGUUUUCUCUAAACCAGGCAUCUACAAAUGUCUUCAAGUCUUUUAGAGCAAGAACUUUCUGUAAGGAGGAGACCUAAAAUUGUGACACUAUCAAAACUGCUACAACCUGGAGUAAUACACCAAAAAGAAAAAUUGUUUCCUCUGUAGAUUUAUUUUCAGAUAUAAUGGACUUGCAUAGUACAUUUAAAGUGGUAUGUUGGUUCCUUAAAAAAAAAAAGUGUUGCUUUUUAAAGGACAUGAAUGUGGAAAAGUGAUUUGUUGUUUUACAUAACAUAAUAAUUAAUAUUUAUACAGUACUUCGUAAAGUAUUUUUAUAUACAAACUUCAAUUUAAUCUUCAAAAUAACCCUACUAUAAUAUUCUU